GAACGACUCUCGGCAACGGAUAUCUCGGCUCUCGCAUCGAUGAAGAACGUAGCGAAAUGCGAUACUUGGUGUGAAUUGCAGAAUCCCGUGAACCAUCGAGUCUUUGAACGCAAGUUGCGCCCGAAGCCUUCGGGCCGAGGGCACGUCUGCCUGGGCGUCACGCA
Molecule: ribosomal RNA, 164 nt
Filed under: Persicaria perfoliata (mile-a-minute weed)
Lineage: Eukaryota; Viridiplantae; Streptophyta; Magnoliopsida; Caryophyllales; Polygonaceae
Also listed under: 6 other names
Description: 5.8S ribosomal RNA
Rfam family: 5.8S ribosomal RNA
About the family: 5.8S ribosomal RNA (5.8S rRNA) is a component of the large subunit of the eukaryotic ribosome. It is transcribed by RNA polymerase I as part of the 45S precursor that also contains 18S and 28S rRNA.
Source: RNAcentral